UACGUAGGGUGCAAGCGUUGUCCGGAAUUAUUGGGCGUAAAGAGCUCGUAGGCGGUUUGUCGCGUCUGCUGUGAAAAUCCAGGGCUUAACCCUGGACCUGCAGUGGGUACGGGCAGACUAGAGUGCGGUAGGGGAGAUCGGAAUUCCUGGUGUAGCGGUGAAAUGCGCAGAUAUCAGGAGGAACGCCGGUGGCGAAGGCGGAUCUCUGGGCCGUAACUGACGCUGAGGAGCGAAAGCAUGGGGAGCGAACAGG
RNAcentral lists this ribosomal RNA (253 nucleotides) under uncultured bacterium. Its description in RNAcentral is "partial 16S ribosomal RNA". It matches the Rfam family "Bacterial small subunit ribosomal RNA", at positions 524 to 776 of the family's 1533-position model. The record is from RNAcentral.